Molecule: ribosomal RNA, 207 nt
Filed under: uncultured bacterium
Lineage: Bacteria
Description: partial 16S ribosomal RNA
Rfam family: Bacterial small subunit ribosomal RNA
Source: RNAcentral
CGCGUAGGUGGUUUGGUCAGUCAGAUGUGAAAGCCCUGGGCUUAACCUGGGAACUGCAUUUGAUACUGCCAGACUAGAGUAUGGUAGAGGGAAGUGGAAUUCCGGGUGUAGCGGUGAAAUGCGUAGAUAUCCGGAGGAACAUCAGUGGCGAAGGCGGCUUCCUGGACCAAUACUGACACUGAGGUGCGAAAGCGUGGGUAGCAAACA